UAGAUGUUCAUUCUCUCUCUCAAACUCCCUACUCAGUCUGGUAACUUUAAAUAUCUUUUGAGAACAAACAAACCUAUUUUCUCUUGAUUGAACUUUAAUUUACACUAUUGUUUUACUGUUUGGUUUUGGCAGUUGAUAAGGAAUAUCAGAACGUUUUCCUGCAGUUGAUGAAUUUUUGUCAUUAUGUUGAAGACGAGUCAACUUGACCAAAGCGUUAACCAUGACAUUUGCUAUCACGGAAGGUCGGAGAUGUCUCUCUUUGCUUGAGGCGACCAUGAGAACACUUUAUCAGAUGUUAUACAAAAACUGGUGAGCAUUCAGGCAGCUGGCCCCAGCUUCAGUCUGGAUCUGCCUGGAGCAGCCCUCAGCCCGGGGUUUCACCACUAGAUUCAGGACCUAUUUCUUCUUCGUGGGGACGGCCUUUUUGGAUUCAGUGGUGAACUGGGGAAAGUAGUUCUCAUUGAAUCUCAGAAGAUCUUCUGUAGUUACUUAAGCACACACACUACAUACACACACACAUACACACCACACACCCAACACACACACCCACACACACCACACAGCACACCUCACCAGCACACACACCAUAGACACACUACACACACACGUGCCACAUCUCCAACACACACCACACACACACACUGCACACACACACCCAACACACACACCACAUCCCCAACACGCACCACACACACACUUCACAAACACACCCAAUACACACACCCCCACACACCACACACACUACACACACACCCAACACACACACCACAUCCCCAACACACACCACACACACUACACACAUAAUACGUACGCCCCCACAUACCACACACAUACCACAAAGCACACCUCCCCAACACACACACUAUAGACACACUACACACACACCCCACAUCCCCAACACACACACUACACACACACCCAACACACACACCACAUCCCCAACACACACCACACACACACUACACACACACCCAAUACACACACCACACAUACACCACACCUCCAACACACACACCGUAGACACACUACACACAUACCACACCCCCAACACACAGACAUAACACCCACACCCAACACACACAGCACACACACCACACCCCCAACACACACACCGCACACACCUCCAACACACACACACCACACACACUACACACCCCCAACUCACACACACACCACACACUCAUAGCCGCCAUGCCUCUGUCCUGCCUCUGCAGUGUCUGAGCGGCGGGCAAGCGCUGAAGCCUCGGUGACGAAAGCCACGUUUCACGGCCACCACGUGCUUUUUAACGAAUUAAUUGUGUCCCCUUUCCCUGGAUGUUGAAGGCUGCCUGAGUGCUCCUGUGAAUGCGCAAAGGACACAAAGAGAAGACGACAGGCCAGAGCCUUGGGGCCAACGUGGGCCUUCAGCAGGGCCUGGGGAGGGGUGAGGGCCGGGGAGCGCCCUGUGGCCUGGCGGGUCCCGUGUGUCGGAAGAGCGGUUCCCUGGGCGGUCACUGAGCUGUCUCCGGCAGAAGCCAGAAAGACGAUGUGUGUGGAGGAUUAAAGAUUGGAAUGCAAGUCCCGUCCUCUCCUGGGUCCUGGAAAGACACGAGCCUACGAG
RNAcentral lists this long non-coding RNA (1600 nucleotides) under Homo sapiens (human). RNAcentral's name for it is "HSALNT0395357". The record is from RNAcentral. Lineage: Eukaryota; Metazoa; Chordata; Mammalia; Primates; Hominidae.